Molecule: ribosomal RNA, 466 nt
Filed under: uncultured bacterium
Lineage: Bacteria
Description: partial 16S ribosomal RNA
Rfam family: Bacterial small subunit ribosomal RNA
Source: RNAcentral
GACGAACGCUGGCGGCGCGCCUAACACAUGCAAGUCGAACGAGCGAGAGAGAGCUUGCUUUCUUGAGCGAGUGGCGAACGGGUGAGUAACGCGUGAGGAACCUGCCUCAAAGAGGGGGACAACAGUUGGAAACGACUGCUAAUACCGCAUAAGCCCACGGUGCCGCAUGGCACAGAGGGAAAAGGAGCAAUCCGCUUUGAGAUGGCCUCGCGUCCGAUUAGCUAGUUGGUGAGGUAACGGCCCACCAAGGCGACGAUCGGUAGCCGGUCUGAGAGGUUGAACAGCCACAUUGGGACUGAGACACGGCCCAGACUCCUACGGGAGGCAGCAGUGGGGAAUCUUGCGCAAUGGGGGAAACCCUGAUGCAGCCACGCCGCGUGGAUGAUGAAGGUCUUCGGAUUGUAAACUUCUUUUGUUGGGGAAGAUAAUGACGGUACCCGACAAAGAAGUGCCGGCUAACUACGUG